RNAcentral lists this long non-coding RNA (204 nucleotides) under Elaeis guineensis (African oil palm). Its description in RNAcentral is "long non-coding RNA (EGUI_LNC068483)". Lineage: Eukaryota; Viridiplantae; Streptophyta; Magnoliopsida; Arecales; Arecaceae. The record is from RNAcentral.
GAUAGUGUUACGGUAGUAUCGGAGAUGCCUCGGAUUUAUAUCCGAAACGUAAAUUUCGGAGUGGCUGACCAUAUAUAUGCUGAGAAGAGGUGCCCACAGCCAUAUACAUGCUGAUAUGAGUUAUCCUGAGAUGAAUUGAGCUAUCUUGAGCUAUGUGCUGAGAAGAGCUACAUGCUGAUAUGAGUUAUCCUGAUAUAAGCUGAG